UGAGAUGAUUCAGUAGAAAAGGCCCAC
Molecule: non-coding RNA, 27 nt
Filed under: Rattus norvegicus (Norway rat)
Lineage: Eukaryota; Metazoa; Chordata; Mammalia; Rodentia; Muridae
Source: RNAcentral